Molecule: ribosomal RNA, 407 nt
Filed under: bacterium enrichment culture clone ALO1_GLFRUDD03HBBMP
Lineage: Bacteria
Description: bacterial SSU rRNA
Rfam family: Bacterial small subunit ribosomal RNA
Source: RNAcentral
GAGUUUGAUCUUGGCUCAGAUUGAACGCUGGCGGCAUGCCUUACACAUGCAAGUCGAACGGCAGCGCGGGAGCUUGCUCCUGGUGGCGAGUGGCGAACGGGUGAGUAAUGCAUCGGAACGUAUCCUGGAGUGGGGGAUAACGUAGCGAAAGUUACGCUAAUACCGCAUAUUCUGUGAGCAGGAAAGCGGGGGACCUUCGGGCCUCGCGCUCUUGGAGCGGCCGAUGUCGGAUUAGCUAGUUGGUGAGGUAAAGGCUCACCAAGGCGACGAUCCGUAGCAGGUCUGAGAGGAUGAUCUGCCACACUGGAACUGAGACACGGUCCAGACUCCUACGGGAGGCAGCAGUGGGGAAUUUUGGACAAUGGGGGCAACCCUGAUCCAGCCAUGCCGCGUGAGUGAAGAAGGCC